RNAcentral lists this long non-coding RNA (816 nucleotides) under Malus domestica (apple). Its description in RNAcentral is "long non-coding RNA (MDOM_LNC015987)". Lineage: Eukaryota; Viridiplantae; Streptophyta; Magnoliopsida; Rosales; Rosaceae. The record is from RNAcentral.
GGCUAAAACAAGAUCACAGCGAGCUUAGUGAGGUCCCAAGGAAGCUCGGAGUGCUUCGUUGGAAGUUUUUGGACGUAAGAACACGGAGAUCGACAAGUUCAAAGUUUGGCCGGAGCUUUCGAGGAGUUUUCCGGCGAAUCCUCGGCGAGUUAGGAGUCGAGGUAGGUAUCAAUCUCUUCGUCUCGUCAAGUACUACAACUUUCCUUUUUGUUUCACUCAAUUUCGUUGAGUAUUGAAGAAGUUAUACUCAUUUGAAAAAUACCCAGUUUCCGGCGACCUCCGAGGCUUUCGAGGCAGUUUCCGGCCAAACCACGGCGAACUAGGUGUUGUUCAAGGUACCAUUCUCUUUGUCUCUUCAAGGGCUACAACUUUCGUUUUUGAAUUACUUGAUUUCGUUGAGAAAUGACAAAGUUAUGGCAAUUUAAAAAACUGCCCGGAAAACGGCCGCCGGAAAAACCAGUCCGGCGACCCAAGGAAGAAGAAGGUGCUACAGUAAAAAUAAAAAAUAAAAUUAUUUUAAAAAUAUGUCGACGUCCGUGACGUCGAGUAGAUCACUGUGGUAUAUUCAUAUACCUAAAUUGAACACCGUAUGAGAAAGUUUUGAGGAUUGUUGGUUAGGUGUUCAAAUAACGUUUUAUAAUUUUCACAUUUAGGUGAAAAUGUGAAUUGAUGAUCCGACCGUUGGAUCGUCACCAAACUUUGAUACGUUGUAAUACGUAAUAUUUGAGGAUUAUUGGAACUUACGGAUUGGGAAUCCGAGUUACGGAUCUUCCGGAAUUGGAAUUGUAAGUCCAUAAUAUAAAAUGUUAACCGUCA